RNAcentral lists this ribosomal RNA (472 nucleotides) under uncultured bacterium. RNAcentral's name for it is "partial 16S ribosomal RNA". It matches the Rfam family "Bacterial small subunit ribosomal RNA", at positions 28 to 507 of the family's 1533-position model. The record is from RNAcentral.
GACGAACGCUGGCGGCGUGCUUAACACAUGCAAGUCGAACGCUGAAGCUUGGUGCUUGCACUGGGUGGAUGAGUGGCGAACGGGUGAGUAAUACGUGAGUAACCUGCCCUUGACUCUGGGAUAAGCCUGGGAAACUGGGUCUAAUACUGGAUAUGACAUGCCACUGCAUGGUGGUGUGUGGAAAGGGUUUUACUGGUUUUGGAUGGGCUCACGGCCUAUCAGCUUGUUGGUGGGGUAAUGACCUACCAAGGCGACGACGGGUAGCCGGCCUGAGAGGGUGACCGGCCACACUGGGACUGAGACACGGCCCAGACUCCUACGGGAGGCAGCAGUGGGGAAUAUUGCACAAUGGGCGGAAGCCUGAUGCAGCGACGCCGCGUGAGGGAUGACGGCCUUCGGGUUGUAAACCUCUUUCAGCACGGAAGAAGCGAGAGUGACGGUACGUGCAGAAGAAGCGCCGGCUAACUACGUG